Pollicipes pollicipes is the source of this 271-nucleotide long non-coding RNA. RefSeq lists it as uncharacterized. The record is from RefSeq and is a predicted model, not a curated record. NCBI's taxonomy places the organism in Eukaryota, Metazoa, Arthropoda, Thecostraca, Pollicipedomorpha, Pollicipedidae. The transcript is spliced from 4 exons.
GCCGAGCAGUACCCAGUCAGCAGCGCCGCCCAAUACCCGAUGUCGCCUGGCGUUAACUUCAGCUCCCAGCUAGCCAAGCAGCUUUCCGCACCCCUGACCGCUCGCAGCAGCCCCGUGCAAAUGACGCCGUCGAAAGGCGGCUACAUGCCGGCGCCCACCCUCGCCAAGCAGCUGGCGGCUCCGGCCAUGGUGCCGCCCUCGUCACCCAUGAACCACAGUCGCCUCGGCAUUCCGUACGGACCGUCGCAGCACGGCGCUGCGCCGGGCAUGG